Long non-coding RNA from Cyprinodon tularosa, 297 nucleotides. RefSeq lists it as uncharacterized. The record is from RefSeq and is a predicted model, not a curated record. Lineage: Eukaryota; Metazoa; Chordata; Actinopteri; Cyprinodontiformes; Cyprinodontidae. The transcript has 3 exons.
GGGAAGCAGUACCCUGCUAACAAUAAUUCAACAGGACUUGGAGGAAUAUUUCAGGCCUCUUGGAGCCACUGAAUCACUUUCAUUUGCUUCAUAAUGGAGACGGCUGAUUUCCUACAGCUCCCUGGGUAUGGUGUGGUUGGCCAGGAGCGUGCUGCGAGGCCCUGACAGCAAGACAGUGCUGGACCAAAGCUGCAGGAAGCUGAAAAGUCGGCAAAGCUGCCAAGUUGAGCACAAGCUGAGAGAAGAACUGCAGGCAAAUUCUCUUUUCAACACUUUCAGACACUGUCACAACUUCUC